AUAAGACAUUGUUUCUCUCUAUAGCCCUGGCUGUCCUGCAACUCACUUUGUAGACCAGGCUGGCCUGGAACUCAGAAAUCCAUGUGCCUCUGCCUCUCAAGUGCCUGGAUUAAAUAGAAUAUGCAGCCACUGCCUAGCUCUAUGCAUUUUCAUUCAAGUAAUAAUUGAAUUCAUUAUUCAUUGAAACUAGAUUCUUCUUUCAUACAGUAUGUCAGGCCUACAGUUUCUCUUCUGCAUUCCUUCCAGUUACCCUGCCACCUCUUCUAUCCUCCUACCCCACAGAUUUCCUCUCAUUCUGUUUUCUCGUUAGAGGAGAGCAGGUUGCAAGGAGAGGAGAGCCAAGCAGAACAAAACAAGAUAGAGAAGGCAUGUUGAAAGCUCUCAUUUUGGGGCUGUCCAUGGCAAGCCAAUAGGAAGAAAAGAACAUUAAGAUCAAGCAAAGGAGUCAGAGCCAUACUUCCUCCCAGUGUUAGGGUUACCACACAUCACCAAGCUAAUCACCAUAACACAGAAGCAGAGGACCUGGGUGAGACCCAUGCAAACCCAUUUUUGCUAUUUAAGUCUAUGUGCAGUUUCUGAAAACCCUGGCAAGUUUGUUCAGCACAUUUUACAGACAGGAAUGUGUAUGUAGAGGUUUUAUAGCUCGUAUUUUUUCCAAAAUUUUCGUUCUGUAGCCUGUGGACUACCUUCUCUCUAAAAAGAGAGUAGAACAUAGGAUGAAGGCUCCUAACAAGCACAAAGUUGAUUUUCAGAUUUAGUGAGUUGUGUUGAAGUUGUCCAAACAAUUAGUCCCUGUGCUUAGGUUUCUGAGAGCAAGAUGUUUUUCACAGAAUCAGCAUGGGUAGUUUUGAGCCGUCCUUGGCUAACAACUCAAUGAAAUGUAACCUGUUCCCAACACUGAAUCCAUACUGCCUAUAAAGGACAAGCAGUUAAGACCCUGUCCUCCAUUAGUAGGAGUGGUCACCAGGGUCACCCUCAGAGUGUCCUGAAAGUUCCCAGGGCACUUUGUUCCUUUACAAACGUGCAAUUGCCCCCUUGUUGCAGCUCUUUUUCCCUGAACUAUACUCUCUUCCUACAUCCCCCCUCCAAAGGACCCCUACCACUUCUUUCCCUAUUUACCUCAGCCUACCCAGAGAGUCUAUUCUAUUUCAUACCACAUUUGUUUCUCCAGUUUUCAGCUGUGGAACAUCUAUGUGUUUUUACCUUCUGUCUAAUACAAAUGAAGCUAUUAUAAACAUAGGUGAGCAUGUGUCCUGGGUUGCUGGAUGGAGUACCUUUUUCAUUUAUGCCCAAGACUGAUAUAGCUUGGUCCUGAGGUGGAUGCAUUCCCAGUCUCCUGAGGAAUCAUGAUACUGGUUCCCUUCUUGGCCAUAUUUGUCUGCACUCCUAUAAGCAGUAGAAGGUGUCACACUUGCUUUAUAUUCUCACUAAUAUGAAAAUCAUUUGUGUUAAUUAUCUUAACCGUUGUAACGUGUGUCAUGGACUCACAAAGUAGUUUUCAUUUGCAAUUCCGUAAUGGGUAAGGAUGGUGAACAUUUCUUUAAGAAUUUCUUCUCCAUGAGAUUGUCUGUUGAGAAUUCAUGGUUUAAAUCUCUACCCUAUUUUUUAUCUGGAGUUUUUGAUUUUAGAUCAUCUAGUUUUGUGAGGUCUGUAUAUAUUUCUGUAUAUUACAAGUUUAUCAGGUGUGUUUAAAUUGUACAAAUACUUUUCUCAUUCCUUAGACUGUCUAUUUGUCCAAUUGUCUGGGCUUUGGCCUUAGAAAAACCUCACUGUUCCAUGAGGUCCAAUUUAUGAAUUUAUCUUAGUUUCUGCACUAUUAGUAUUCUGUUCAGAAGGUUGUCUCCUGUGACAUUGAAUUCAGUGAGGUUCUCCCAUUAUCCUUCUGUCAGGAUCAAUGUGUCUGGUUUUAUUUUAAAUCUUUGGAAAUCUAUUUGGAAAUGAGUUUAGUGCAGGGCAAAGAAGAUAGACCUCUUUCCAUACAUUUCCAUGUAGAACUACAGUGUAACAAGCACCACUUUGCUAAGCCAAGUGUGGUCCUGAUAGGCCCAGGUAGACAUGGUUCCUGCCCCUGGGACACUGGUGUGAGCCUUCAUGAGCGUUGAUGGCUGUUGUAGGUAUAAGUAAGGCUUGUUUAUGUAAUCAUGUACAAAUUUUCUGGACCCACUAACAGAGGACUCUUUUCUCUGAAAACAGGGGAUUUCAUUUUCAGAGGAACUUCUUCCCUGUGAAUGCUAAUGCCUCCAUGCUGGUUAGAAACUGCUGGAGUCCUGGAAUUGAGGGUGUAGCUAUGUUACAUCGAAGUUGUAAAAACUGAGAUUUCAGGACAGCUUUUAAGGCUAUGGGAAAAAACUCUAAAUACAUGAUUUUGAAAAUAAAUAAUUUCUCAACUCUGCCAAAAAUAAGGAUGCAAUAUGAAUCAUAUGAGGGGCUCCUUAAGGAUUCUAAAGUAACCAAGUCAGUUACCCUGUGAGCCAGCAAGUGAGAAAGAUGCAAAGGCAGGGACAUAAAAAGGCAUGCACUUUCCAGAGUUCAAGGUCAGUUUGGCCAGGGGCAAGGCCAGUCCCAGGAGUGGUAAAAAUGGUAAUUUGAUGGCGUGGAGCAGUUUGAACUGGCCUCUGAAGUAUGCUUAAGAAAGGCUAAAGAGGGGCUGGUGAGAUGGCUCAGUGGCUAAGAGCACCCAACUGCUCUUCCGAAGGUCCAGAGUUCAAAUCCCAGCAACCACAUGGUGGCUCACAACCAUCUGUAACGAGAUCUGGCGCCCUCUUCUGGAGUGUCUGAAGACAGCUAAAGUGUACUUAACAUAUAAGUAAAUAAAAAGAGUUUUUAU
RNAcentral lists this long non-coding RNA (2827 nucleotides) under Mus musculus (house mouse). RNAcentral's name for it is "long non-coding RNA chr5:104574622-104577449". Lineage: Eukaryota; Metazoa; Chordata; Mammalia; Rodentia; Muridae. The record is from RNAcentral.